UAAUACAACUCUUUCCGCCAGAGAACUACNNGUGAAAAACUUGAAACUCAAAGGACUUGACGGUGUCCCAUAUCGGCCUAGAGGAGCCUGUCCUAUAAUCGAUACCCCCCGUUCCACCCAACCCCAACUAGCAAACAUACCAGCCUAUAUACCGCCGUCGACAGUUUACCCUAUGAAGGUCUAAUAGUAGACACAACAGCCUCUAACGCUAAUACGUCAGGUCAAGGUGUAGCAAAUGUUGUGGAAGAGAUUGGCUACAUUUUUUAUGAUAAAAAAUACGGAUUGCACUAUGAAAUACUGCAUGAAGGUGAAUUUAG
RNAcentral lists this ribosomal RNA (317 nucleotides) under Podarcis hispanicus (Iberian wall lizard). Its description in RNAcentral is "partial 12S ribosomal RNA". It matches the Rfam family "Bacterial small subunit ribosomal RNA", at positions 853 to 1335 of the family's 1533-position model. Lineage: Eukaryota; Metazoa; Chordata; Lepidosauria; Squamata; Lacertidae. The record is from RNAcentral.